Molecule: ribosomal RNA, 497 nt
Filed under: uncultured bacterium
Lineage: Bacteria
Description: partial 16S ribosomal RNA
Rfam family: Bacterial small subunit ribosomal RNA
Source: RNAcentral
GAUGAACGCUGGCGGCGUGCCUAAUACAUGCAAGUCGAGCGAACGGACGAGAAGCUUGCUUCUCUGAUGUUAGCGGCGGACGGGUGAGUAACACGUGGAUAACCUACCUAUAAGACUGGGAUAACUUCGGGAAACCGUAGCUAAUACCGGAUAAUAUUUUGAACCGCAUGGUUCAAAAGUGAAAGACGGUCUUGCUGUCACUUAUAGAUGGAUCCGCGCUGCAUUAGCUAGUUGGUAAGGUAACGGCUUACCAAGGCAACGAUGCAUAGCCGACCUGAGAGGGUGAUCGGCCACACUGGAACUGGGACACGGUCCAGACUCCUACGGGAGGCAGCAGUAGGGAAUCUUCCGCAAUGGGCGAAAACCUGACGGAGCAACGCCGCGUGAGUGAUGAAGGUCUUCGGAUCGUAAAACUCUGUUAUUAGGGAAGAACAUAUGUGUAAGUAACUGUGCACAUCUUGACGGUACCUAAUCAGAAAGCCACGGCUAACUACGUG